Molecule: long non-coding RNA, 1337 nt
Organism: Nicotiana attenuata
Lineage: Eukaryota; Viridiplantae; Streptophyta; Magnoliopsida; Solanales; Solanaceae
Exons: 2
Source: RefSeq, a predicted model, not a curated record
CCCACAGCAUGAUCAUGCUCUAUAUUCAAAGCAUCAAAGGUGUUUGAGCAGUUGAUUUUCCUUGAAUCCUCACAUAGUGCACCUGUAAAGAUUUCUGCGAUAAUCUGAUUUUCAUGGUCUGGAUUUUUCUUUUUGUUAAGUGAUGGAUGAGAUCGAGUAACCUCUGUCUACUCUCGAUCAUUUAAUUGAUUCACAGCUUGAGAACCUGAUUCUAACAGAUGCGUGGCCUCAUUCUCAUGCACAGCAGAUUUGUGCACAUCAGUAGCAGCUGCAACUCCAAAACUUGACGCAACUGUAGCACCUUUUGUAGCACUAGGAAUAUUAGCUGAUUUUUCACCCUUAGUUUUCUCAACUAGCUGCACCUCAAGACUCCUCUGUUCCCUGCUACAUCAUUUUCACGACCUGAUGCAACAGUAGGAACAACUCCCCUUGCACCAUCAUCAGCUUGGCCUGCAACAUUAUGUGUAAUCCCAGAAGACUUAGGAUUAACAUGCACAAAUUAGUUCUGUUUGUUUGAAACUUCAUAUUAAAUUGGUUACGAUCCUUGUCGCUGAAAACUCUAUUGACAUUCUUGGCUAAAUUUUGAGGUCUGCUAAACUUUUUUUGAAAUCUAACUUGACUUGUUGAAAGUUAUUUUAGUGUUCGUUUUUUAUGACUUGUAAGUGAUGUGCAAUAAUAUUUUUUUUGACAGUCUGAACUUCAGAAUCGUCAAAAAGUUUUGGAGAAACAGCAGAUGAUGCAUUUAGGGCUGUAUUUGGAAAGGAGCAGCUUGGUCGGGUUAGAUGCUAUGGUAGAUCGGUGACGACAAGCUCUCUGAAAAAAGAUGAAGAAAUCACCAAGCUUAAACAAAAGCAUGCCAAUGAAAUAACUUCUCUCAAGGAAGAAAUGAAGGAAAUGAUGAGAGAAGAAAUGCGAUGUUUUUUUAGUCAAUUUGUGAAAAACAACCCUGGACUGGAUUUUCAUGAUAUACAAGGGUGUGUUGGAUCUAAUAUUCCUUCACCAGUUGAUGCAAGUAGUGCACGAGCUAUGAGAGGCCAAAAUCUACCACAUUCUUCUGGCUCAACUCACGCCCCAAGUCUUGAAAAGGAAAAAAACGGGUGAUGCAAUUGGAUACGGAGGUCACAAAUCAAUUUGAUCCAUUAAAGUGAAUGGUGAAAACCUUUUGAACAAUUGGGAUGUUUAUUUUUAUUGAUUCUAUAAAUAUGAAUACAUUUGGUUUUGUAGAGGUCUUUGCUAGUGAACUCUUGAACCAACAGUGCUUUAUUACUAUAGACAGUACACAAAGAAUGUUUCUUUGUUGAAAUUUAUUUUAAGUAUAUGCAUUUGAAUUAUUUUUA